This 251-nucleotide ribosomal RNA is filed under the name uncultured bacterium. RNAcentral describes it as "partial 16S ribosomal RNA". It matches the Rfam family "Bacterial small subunit ribosomal RNA", at positions 524 to 776 of the family's 1533-position model. The record is from RNAcentral.
UACAGGGGGGCAAGCGUUGUUCGGAAUUACUGGGCGUAAAGGGUUCGUAGGUGGCCAACUAAGUCAGACGUGAAAUCCCUCAGCUUAACUGGGGACUGCGUCUGAUACUGGAUGGCUUGAGUGUAGGAGAGGAAUGCGGAAUUCCAGGUGUAGCGGUGAAAUGCGUAGAUAUCUGGAGGAACACCGGUGGCGAAGGCGGCAUUCUGGACUACAACUGACACUGAGGAACGAAAGCCAGGGGAGCAAACGGG